ACUCUUCACUGGACUCAAUUCGCAUAGUAAACUGUGAGGGCUUCAAAACAAUACCCUGGCAUGAGGAACGGUCAACACCUUACAGCUUAGAAAAGACCCUAGAAUACUAGAAAUCAAUAGUCCCCAACCUUUGGUAGUCCACAGGCAACAAUACUGAGCAAGUGACAUUGUAGGCAACAGCAUACGCCCUAUUCUUUCUUUUACUUUUUUUAGCAUUCUGUGGCUGUAAGCAGAAUCAAAGGGUCCACAGGAAACAUGCUACCUGUGAGCCAUACAUCAGAGACACUACUGCCACAAAAAGCCUUUAUCCUAAAGAACCUCAGGAUUCUUUCACAAACAAAUAUAUCCAGAAAUAACUUCCUCCACCAGUAAAGUACAGCCACCUCUGAAGUAGAGCACACAACUGUAUUGCACAGCAGCUUGGGACAUGUGGAAUUCUAUCCAGUGAAAACUGAAGGGAAAAUUUAGGAAGGUGCAAAUACAGUCUCUGCUUGGGCAGUAAUUUGGCCAGAACACUGGCAUUAAUAUAACUAUCCCUCUUGCAAAAAAGUGUCUAUAGUCUUUGCCAACUGGAGCCUGGACUUCUAUUUUACCUGAAAUUCACCCCUGCCAGCACACAAUCCUUUGGUACUUCUUUGGACAAAUAGCAAAAGAAAGCACUAGCAAAUUCUUAUCCACAUCAAUUCCUAGAGCACACAGAUAUGCUGUAUUACAGCUUCCAAAUAUUAAGUGGAAACCUGAAUAGUGUACAAGAUGUGCCAGUCACAGUGCAAACAGAUGUGGACUACAGACAGCACAGGAGAGGGUUUUGCAUGAUGCUCGAUAAGGACUUCGUGAACAAACAUACAUUUAUAGUGGCUUCAAAAGGGGAAGGGGAACUGCUGCUCAGAAGCAAACAGCAGCUAUUAUGCUAUAAUUGUUGUGUUUGCAUGACCCUGUAAUGAUACAAGCAAGCUAAAUUGGCCCAACUUUGUCCACAGAUGAAGCAGGUAGAGAGGAGGCUAUGUCUGGCAGAGGUGGAAGCAAAUGGAGAAGUGUUUGCAGAGGUUGAUGGGAAGUGACCACAAAGGACCAUGAGAGGAGAGCAACUUUCUUUGCACAGAGGUGACAAGAUAGCAUUUAUAUGCAUCCUGGAUGCAAGACAAGGGCAGAAAUGCUUUUCGAUGAAAAAAAAUGUUGAAAGGAGAGAAAACAAAACAACACAAAACAUGGAUGUGAGAAAACUUUCCCUAGUAAAACCAUGAGGGAUCAGAGUCACUCAAGCAUGGCAGCUAGAAACUUGCUAUAUCAUCUUCAUUAUCAAUAUUAUUAUUAUACAAGUACAUCAUAAUUAAUAAUCUCCCACAAAAAUGUUCAAAUGCAAAGAAGUAAGAGACCCCAUGACACUUUAAUCAUAAGCAGUGCAGAUCAUUUUGUAAUUGGUUCAAGUGAAUCCUCUGGUUUGGUUAGAAACCAAAACACUGUGAAGCCCACGGAGGAAUCUAAACUCUCAGACACAACUGGGUUUUAGCCAUUUACAUUAGGAAAGUAGCUGAUAUUGCUGCU
Molecule: long non-coding RNA, 1545 nt
Organism: Gavialis gangeticus (Gharial)
Lineage: Eukaryota; Metazoa; Chordata; Crocodylia; Gavialidae
Exons: 3
Source: RefSeq, a predicted model, not a curated record